RNAcentral lists this long non-coding RNA (259 nucleotides) under Solanum tuberosum (potato). RNAcentral's name for it is "long non-coding RNA (STUB_LNC009116)". The record is from RNAcentral. Lineage: Eukaryota; Viridiplantae; Streptophyta; Magnoliopsida; Solanales; Solanaceae.
ACUCGGAUCAGAUUUCCGUCGAUUCCGGCAGUUUUAGAAUGUCGAAACGGGUCUGUGUGAAGUUACGGAGUUGAAUUUGGAGUUGAAACGAAGAAUUGAGGUCCUAAGUUGCUAAAGUUGUGAAAUUUUGAUAAAGAGUUGACUUUGGUCAACAUAUGAGGUUCCGAGGCUCAGAUUGAAAUUCCGAGAGUACCGUUGGUUUCGGGAGGCGAUUCUAAGUCUAGAAUGAGUCUUGGUUGAAUUUUUAGACGCUCCGUUU